AUUGAACGCUGGCGGCAGGCCUAACACAUGCAAGUCGAACGGUAACAGGAAGCAGCUUGCUGCUUUGCUGACGAGUGGCGGGCGGGUGAGUAAUGUCUGGGAAACUGCCUGAUGGAGGGGGAUAACUACUGGAAACGGUAGCUAAUACCGCAUAACGUCGCAAGACCAAAGUGGGGGACCUUCGGGCCUCUUGCCAUCGGAUGUGCCCAGAUGGGAUUAGCUAGUAGGUGGGGUAACGGCUCACCUAGGCGACGAUCCCUAGCUGGUCUGAGAGGAUGACCAGCCACACUGGAACUGAGACACGGUCCAGACUCCUACGGGAGGCAGCAGUGGGGAAUAUUGCACAAUGGGCGCAAGCCUGAUGCAGCCAUGCCGCGUGUAUGAAGAAGGCCUUCGGGUUGUAAAGUACUUUCAGCGGGGAGGAAGGGAUCAUACUUAAUACGUGUGGUGAUUGACGUUACUCGCAGAAGAAGCACCGGCUAACUCCGUGCCAGCAGCCGCGGUAAUACGGAGGGUGCAAGCGUUAAUCGGAAUUACUGGGCGUAAAGCGCACGCAGGCGGUUUGUUAAGUCAGAUGUGAAAUCCCCGGGCUCAACCUGGGAACUGCAUCUGAUACUGGCAAGCUUGAGUCUCGUAGAGGGGGGUAGAAUUCCAGGUGUAGCGGUGAAAUGCGUAGAGAUCUGGAGGAAUACCGGUGGCGAAGGCGGCCCCCUGGACAAAGACUGACGCUCAGGUGCGAAAGCGUGGGGAGCAAACAGG
RNAcentral lists this ribosomal RNA (759 nucleotides) under uncultured Enterobacteriaceae bacterium. RNAcentral's name for it is "bacterial SSU rRNA". It matches the Rfam family "Bacterial small subunit ribosomal RNA", at positions 28 to 776 of the family's 1533-position model. The record is from RNAcentral. Lineage: Bacteria; Pseudomonadati; Pseudomonadota; Gammaproteobacteria; Enterobacterales; Enterobacteriaceae.